CAGGAAAAUGAGAAAAUCAGAGAAAGAUUCCUGGAGUACUACAACCACACAACGCUGCAGUGAAUUCCCAUCUGUGAUCGCAGAUUUACGGAGCGUAAGGUUGUUUGUCGUGAGCUCGGCUACGAUCCUCUUGAUGUGUUUAUUGGACACGAUCGGAGAAUCGUAUUCCAAAUAAAUCCGCUGACAAGGAUUUGGACCUGCGUUGAGCCGAUGGAGUGUCACGGUGAUGAGUAGCGACUGGACGAGUGCCCUGAGCGAUUGAAUGGACAAUUAUACGAGUAUUGUUAUUAGCUGAAAUGGAGAACCGGAGGAGAGAAACUACUAGGGAGGUGUACGAUUUGCUAAUCCAGAUUUUGAGACAAGUUUGUACGAAUACCGAAUUCAUGAAGCAGCAACUCAUUCUACGGCAAAACUGAUCGAAAGUGUGCUGGAAUGUUGCACGGAGAAAAGUCUUCGGUGGCGCAAAUUAUUUCGAAGAAUCCUAGUAUAAGCUUCGUUACGAUCAGAAACUGCUCAUCAUGCAUAUAAUUUGUUCUCGAUGAUGGAAACCUGCGAUACCGACAAGGAAGUCUGGAGGAACGUUUUCUAGUGUACUACAAAUACAACAAUCCAGCGAACUGGAUUGUUAAAAUAUUCAGCCUACCGUGCUAAACCAACUUAGAUUCCGGUUACUGCAGUCUAACCUGAAUACGGUUGACGGGAUAUGAUUCAACUUUUGGACGGUGACAUCUAUAUCUCCGCAAGGGUGAUAGGAGUGAUCGAUGCAACUUCGGAAAAUCAAAAGAUAUGAUGGAGCACGGGCUCGGCACGCUGCCAAUUUCGGUUAUUGGAUUCAAUCGGGAUACUCAGCAUAAUAUCUUCAAUUCGGAAAUCAAGGAAUGUGUCGGGAGUGCUCUUCACUACGUGACUGUUGAUGAAGUGUCCCCAACGUUGAAAAUCGAAUGCAAUCGAUUCAUUAGAAACUGUUGCCAGUUUUACGUAUGUCUCUUCCUGCGAUGCUACGAUUCGAGCUGACGUACAGAAUAUGUAGACGUUAUAUUUCAGGAAUAACCUCGUCCAAGAAAAUCAAGGGAAUUUAUACGAGCCGAUUCCCGAGGGUCGGCCACGUCUCUUCGAGGAUGGGUUCAUAAUAAGUUGUGUGUGAAGAAUCGAAACCGCGCGUUGUACAUUGAGGGUUGACAAUCAUCUCCGUAUCAGGAAGUUACCGUACACAAAUAACUACAUAAUUCAGAACGAAGCGGCCUUCCAGGAUAUAGUGAUACUUCGGCAAGUAGUGUCCAUCUUUAUGUUGAACUAUGUUCACAGCAACAAAGACAGCAGGGUUGUCUAGGUAUCUGGGUUCGACCGGGUACGGUCGACCAUUUAUCAGAUCACGUCUCACAACGGUUUUCAUGAGUAAGGUUGUAUGGGAAAAAAUAAGGAUGUCAAUCCAAUGCAUUUUUAAUUACGUUGCAACCGAUUGGACUGGAAGAGCUACUAUUGUUGCUGGGACUGCUGGACAGCCCUACUAUUUAAGAAUCCUGAUAAUAACUACGAAAUGAUCACUGUGAAUCGAUCCAUGUAAGUUUGUCCUUACUCUUUUAGAUGUAUUCAAUAUUAUUUCACUUGAAUUCAAUUAUUUCUACAAAUAGUUUAAUUAAAUCAACUUAAUGGGUGUGUCAAUUGUAAAAUUAAGGUUUCCUCUUUUAAAAUUUAUUUGAUCUUUUACGGAACCUGGAUUUAUACCAAGCGGAGUUAUUCCUGAUAUAUUUUUCAAAAGCAUUUUUUUUUCAAAAAAUGGUUCGCGAAAAGACUUAACCAAACAUGAAAAGUUUGGUGACCUCGCGUUUCCAUAAGUUGAAAUUCGGGAAUUCUUCCUGAGUGCUGGUGAGCCGCUUAAUUGUGUGUGACCGUGUGUUCCCGUUGAAAUUGUUUUGCAACCAUAAUAGUAAAACUAAGUAACAUAUUUAGAAACAAUAAUUCCUUUAAAAUAUGUGCGGAAGUUUGAUGCAAUAGUGUUCAAACACUGAUUAUUAUAAGACGAAAUCUAAAUGUUAAAAAGCAAUAUUCUUCGAAUGUAUACUUUGUUUCUAUAGAUUCGGGCAGUUUGUCAGACCUGUCAGCAAAUAGCAUUAAAAGAAUAAUGUUGUUAUAUUCAAAUAUACUUAAUUCUUUAAUCAAAAAUACCAUUAGUUGUAACAACACGCUUAUAGUACAUAUUGAAUUAAUAAAACAUGGUUUAAACAAUCUA
Molecule: long non-coding RNA, 2230 nt
Organism: Topomyia yanbarensis
Lineage: Eukaryota; Metazoa; Arthropoda; Insecta; Diptera; Culicidae
Exons: 3
Source: RefSeq, a predicted model, not a curated record